This is a long non-coding RNA of Lynx canadensis (Canada lynx), 830 nucleotides long. RefSeq lists it as uncharacterized. The record is from RefSeq and is a predicted model, not a curated record. The transcript is spliced from 3 exons. NCBI's taxonomy places the organism in Eukaryota, Metazoa, Chordata, Mammalia, Carnivora, Felidae.
CCCGUUGCUGCUCCAAGGAACUGCCACGAACGUGGUGGCUUGAAACACGACACAUUCUUCCCUUCCAGUUCUGGGGGUCAGAAGUCCACCCCUGAACCAAAAUCGAGACAGCAAUGGCAGGUCACGUACAUCACUGUGACCACAGAGGGAAGUGGUCUCCGCUUUUGACGAUCCUCUGAUUCCACUGGGCCCACCUGCGAAGCCCGGACCAUUUCCCUGAUCCAAACCUUUGAGGUAUUUCAUUUCCGCGGCCCCUGCAAGCCAUGGGCUUGGUGAUGACAAGACAGGGCGUUCCUUGGUCACUCGGGAACCCAGCACCCCUGAACAAGCCCUGCCAUGAGGAGAUCGUCAAGAAUUAUUUCUUGGAAACUCAGAGAGGGGCUGUACAGGACCCCCGAGCCUUUGGAGGAUGCCCUGACAAUUGGGGGGGGGGGCUCCCAAACAGGAAGAGUGUCCGCUGCACUCAGGCCCUAGUGGUCACUACUUUCCAGGGCCACGCUGAUGUCUGAGGUCACUGUCACAAACUGGAAAGUCUGGGAUUCCAGGUGGCCAGGGGCUGCAGACACAGCACUGAACCUGGGGAGAGGAGAAAACCCUAGCCAGUGAGUUCUCUUUGAUGCGGCCUGGGAGGACCGUUUGCAGGGGUCUGGGGGGCGGGCGCGCCCGGCACACUGUGGCAGUCGUGCGGUACGAUCGCUGCUGUCCACGACGCCGGGAGGGACCGUUGGUGGCUCUGGGUCUCCCGCUGUCGCCCUUGCGCCCCUCCGCCUCUGCUGCCGCCCGGCCCUCGCCCACCCGCACUUGCUCACGCCCAGCUGUGCCCACGGGCU